RNAcentral lists this ribosomal RNA (1461 nucleotides) under Lacticaseibacillus paracasei. RNAcentral describes it as "bacterial SSU rRNA". It matches the Rfam family "Bacterial small subunit ribosomal RNA". The record is from RNAcentral. Lineage: Bacteria; Bacillati; Bacillota; Bacilli; Lactobacillales; Lactobacillaceae.
UGCCCUAUACAUGCAAGUCGAACGAGUUCUCGUUGAUGAUCGGUGCUUGCACCGAGAUUCAACAUGGAACGAGUGGCGGACGGGUGAGUAACACGUGGGUAACCUGCCCUUAAGUGGGGGAUAACAUUUGGAAACAGAUGCUAAUACCGCAUAGAUCCAAGAACCGCAUGGUUCUUGGCUGAAAGAUGGCGUAAGCUAUCGCUUUUGGAUGGACCCGCGGCGUAUUAGCUAGUUGGUGAGGUAAUGGCUCACCAAGGCGAUGAUACGUAGCCGAACUGAGAGGUUGAUCGGCCACAUUGGGACUGAGACACGGCCCAAACUCCUACGGGAGGCAGCAGUAGGGAAUCUUCCACAAUGGACGCAAGUCUGAUGGAGCAACGCCGCGUGAGUGAAGAAGGCUUUCGGGUCGUAAAACUCUGUUGUUGGAGAAGAAUGGUCGGCAGAGUAACUGUUGUCGGCGUGACGGUAUCCAACCAGAAAGCCACGGCUAACUACGUGCCAGCAGCCGCGGUAAUACGUAGGUGGCAAGCGUUAUCCGGAUUUAUUGGGCGUAAAGCGAGCGCAGGCGGUUUUUUAAGUCUGAUGUGAAAGCCCUCGGCUUAACCGAGGAAGCGCAUCGGAAACUGGGAAACUUGAGUGCAGAAGAGGACAGUGGAACUCCAUGUGUAGCGGUGAAAUGCGUAGAUAUAUGGAAGAACACCAGUGGCGAAGGCGGCUGUCUGGUCUGUAACUGACGCUGAGGCUCGAAAGCAUGGGUAGCGAACAGGAUUUAGAUACCCUGGUAGUCCAUGCCGUAAACGAUGAAUGCUAGGUGUUGGAGGGUUUCCGCCCUUCAGUGCCGCAGCUAACGCAUUAAGCAUUCCGCCUGGGGAGUACGACCGCAAGGUUGAAACUCAAAGGAAUUGACGGGGGCCCGCACAAGCGGUGGAGCAUGUGGUUUAAUUCGAAGCAACGCGAAGAACCUUACCAGGUCUUGACAUCUUUUGAUCACCUGAGAGAUCAGGUUUCCCCUUCGGGGGCAAAAUGACAGGUGGUGCAUGGUUGUCGUCAGCUCGUGUCGUGAGAUGUUGGGUUAAGUCCCGCAACGAGCGCAACCCUUAUGACUAGUUGCCAGCAUUUAGUUGGGCACUCUAGUAAGACUGCCGGUGACAAACCGGAGGAAGGUGGGGAUGACGUCAAAUCAUCAUGCCCCUUAUGACCUGGGCUACACACGUGCUACAAUGGAUGGUACAACGAGUUGCGAGACCGCGAGGUCAAGCUAAUCUCUUAAAGCCAUUCUCAGUUCGGACUGUAGGCUGCAACUCGCCUACACGAAGUCGGAAUCGCUAGUAAUCGCGGAUCAGCACGCCGCGGUGAAUACGUUCCCGGGCCUUGUACACACCGCCCGUCACACCAUGAGAGUUUGUAACACCCGAAGCCGGUGGCGUAACCCUUUUAGGGAGCGAGCCGUCUAAAGGGUGG